GGCCUACCUAGGCGACGAUACAUAGCCGACCUGAGAGGGUGAUCGGCCACACUGGGACUGAGACACGGCCCAGACUCCUACGGGAGGCAGCAGUAGGGAAUCUUCGGCAAUGGGGGCAACCCUGACCGAGCAACGCCGCGUGAGUGAAGAAGGUUUUCGGAUCGUAAAGCUCUGUUGUAAGAGAAGAACGUGUGUGAGAGUGGAAAGUUCACACAGUGACGGUAACUUACCAGAAAGGGACGGCUAACUAC
This 251-nucleotide ribosomal RNA is filed under the name uncultured bacterium. RNAcentral describes it as "partial 16S ribosomal RNA". It matches the Rfam family "Bacterial small subunit ribosomal RNA", at positions 262 to 504 of the family's 1533-position model. The record is from RNAcentral.